Long non-coding RNA from Etheostoma spectabile (orangethroat darter), 797 nucleotides. RefSeq lists it as uncharacterized. Lineage: Eukaryota; Metazoa; Chordata; Actinopteri; Perciformes; Percidae. The record is from RefSeq and is a predicted model, not a curated record. The transcript has 2 exons.
CACACACACACACACACUUUUAGAUCAAAUGUGGAAACACUGAUGUGAUGAAAUACACAAUCCUACAGUUAUAAAAUACUAUAUUGUUAGUUUAAGUUAGGCUCUAAAACAAUCAGAAUCAGGAAUAAGGAGGUACAGAAGGCUUUUUGUGUGGGAGUUUUUGUGCGUUUUAACCCAGGGGCCCAGCAGAGUGGCAUUAGUAAUGAUGGGUGUCUGCAAAGCCCCGAUCUUCCCACAUAUGAGAUUUCCAGCAUUAGUAGUAAAAUGUCUGCCCUCGGGGACAGUAUUAGAGCCGAGGGACCAAAACGGCGAUGGAGAUAGAUGACUGCAGAAAGCCUCAGAGGCGGAUUAGGAGGAGCCUGCUUCCCCAAAGCACUAAUUGUCUCUCAGGGCAGACAGUAGCUACAGUCGCCGCUGGCAACCACUAAUGAGAUGUGACAAGCUUUAAUUGAUGAACUUUGGUGAGGGGCAGAGAAGGGAGGAAUGGGACUGAUGGAAAUGAGAUAAGAACAGGAGUGAGGAGCUGUUCUCACCCGCAGGAGCCGUUGUACUCAUACUUUCCCUGGUUCAACUGCAUGGCCAGAUCUGAGAGAGACAAUAAGACAAGUUCUGAUGAGACGCAGAUAUCAGAAGCUCCACCUCUUGUGUGACUCCCCCUUCCCCCCUCAGGCUUGCACAUGCUCCGCUCCCAGCAGACCAUAUGGUCCAACCCCUUUUGCCUCUGGUCAUGGGGCAACAGCUGUUUUCCAACAGAAAACACUCACUGUAUAGGUGUGUAUGUAGCGGAGAGAGAGAAU